AUCAGCUGACGAGUCCCAGACAGGACGAAACGCGCGUCCUAAAU
This 44-nucleotide non-coding RNA is filed under the name Schistosoma margrebowiei. Lineage: Eukaryota; Metazoa; Platyhelminthes; Trematoda; Strigeidida; Schistosomatidae. The record is from RNAcentral.